Molecule: ribosomal RNA, 211 nt
Filed under: Bacillus sp. (in: firmicutes)
Lineage: Bacteria; Bacillati; Bacillota; Bacilli; Caryophanales; Bacillaceae
Description: Bacillus sp. (in: Bacteria) partial 16S ribosomal RNA
Rfam family: Bacterial small subunit ribosomal RNA
Source: RNAcentral
UGUAAGCCCACGGCUCAACCGUGGAGGGUCAUUGGAAACUGGGAGACUUGAGUGCAGAAGAGGAAAGUGGAAUUCCAUGUGUAGCGGUGAAAUGCUUAGAGAUAUGGAGGAACACCUGUGGCGAAGGCGACUUUCUGGUCUGUAACUGACACUGAGGCGCGAAAGCGUGGGGAGCAAACAGGAUUACAUACCCUGGUAGUCCACGCCGUAA